Regulatory RNA element from Enterococcus faecalis V583, 62 nucleotides. It matches the Rfam family "pemK RNA". The record is from Rfam. Lineage: Bacteria; Bacillati; Bacillota; Bacilli; Lactobacillales; Enterococcaceae.
AUAAUGAUACUUCCGUAACUAAAUUGGCUCGCCAUUACUGGGGAGAGGUGAAAAUCCUAUGU